Vicia faba (fava bean) is the source of this 225-nucleotide non-coding RNA. The record is from the annotation of a GenBank genome assembly. Lineage: Eukaryota; Viridiplantae; Streptophyta; Magnoliopsida; Fabales; Fabaceae.
AUGACUCUAACCUCACAACCGACGAAUUUAUUCAUUCUAGUAACUCCUCAGUCUAACACCGCACUCUUCUCGGACCGCGAACAUAUCUGCUUCCACUGUGCAACGCCUCUAAAUUCCACCGUCGGUUCGCACCAAAAUUCUAGGUUGGUGGGUUUCACUUUCUUCAAAAUUUUGAUACCGAUUGGUUGCUGCAUACUUUUUCUUUAUCUACUUUUGAUUUUGUGA